Dreissena polymorpha is the source of this 1059-nucleotide long non-coding RNA. RefSeq lists it as uncharacterized. The record is from RefSeq and is a predicted model, not a curated record. The transcript is spliced from 3 exons. NCBI's taxonomy places the organism in Eukaryota, Metazoa, Mollusca, Bivalvia, Myida, Dreissenidae.
CAAAAUCGAAACCGAAAGUGCAGAAAAAAGCAACACAAGAUAGAGACAAGCGAUUUCGUUUGAAAUUGAUCAAUCUUGGCGAUACGACUGAACGUUGGAAGAUCUUUAAAAGCAUCUUUUGAACAGACAAAGAAAGAGGUGUGGCUGAUAUACUAAUCGGGCUCUCUUUGGAAAGGCAUGCUGACUUAACUGUGCAAUUUUGACUGUCCAGCAUGGUGUUUGAACAGCAAGCUCUGAACCUACGAACCGUCAUCAGCCACCAGAUCCUGAUCUGUCUUCUGUGUCGGAAGGAAGCAACAUACCUGGUCAGGUGUCAGGAACUGGAGAGAUCAUAUUUGACUUGGAAGUUGUGCUUGUGCAUGCCAAAAAUUGGACAGUGGUGCAAAGAACAAAUAGGUUUACAGGUUCAUUCCAUGAUUGCAUUAAAGAAUGUGCACUGAGUACCUUGAUAUCAACACAAAAAAAAAACACUCGAUACCAAGUUCCUUGUUGAUCCAGCUGAUCCAGAGCUGAUGCCUUUACAAUUGCCUCUCAUCCACAUCCUGCAAAUGCGGAGCUGCGAGAAAACAACAGAGCAAAGAUCAAUGGCAAGCAAGCGGGAGGCAAUUGGUAGAUUCACUAAAUGAGUAAAUAGAAAUAGGCACUUGACGUAUGUCGUUUCAACAGAUUUUAACAUACCAUCAUUGUGAAAUGAAAACUUUGCAAACUUAACAGGAUGGUUUUAUAGGAUAUAGAUGACUAUAUUAUUUGAAUCGAUGCUUGAACUUAUUUUUGUCAGUGUGAAUGCGUGACCAAAUGCUUGGUAUUAUGAUACUGUCAUAAUAAUGUACUACUAUUAUUAUUACAUACUAAUGUAAUAUAUAUAUGUUUUACAUUUUAAUUACUGAACUGCCUAUAAACAAAGGACUUAAAUACAAUUGUUGAAAACUCAAGAAAAACGCAGACAAGAGUCCUGAACCAGAAGACUCACUGGUAAAAUUGUAAGUUUAUGUAGCGUAUUCCAAAUCGUCAUGUAUUUACAAAUAAACAGCAUAAAAUAAAAGUAUCGCAACAUGUCAA